Molecule: ribosomal RNA, 839 nt
Filed under: uncultured soil archaeon
Lineage: Archaea
Description: bacterial SSU rRNA
Rfam family: Archaeal small subunit ribosomal RNA
Source: RNAcentral
AGGUUACUGCUAUCGGUGUUCGCUUAAGCCAUGCGAGUCAUAUGUUCGUAAGAACAUGGCGUACUGCUCAGUAACACGUGGAUAACCUGCCCUUUGGGUCCGGCAUAACCCCGGGAAACUGGGGACAAUUCCGGAUAACGCACAUAUGCUGGAAUGCUUUAUGCGUAAAAUGGAUUCGUCUGCCCAAGGAUGGGUCUGCGGCCUAUCAGGUAGUAGUGGGUGUAAUGUACCUACUAGCCUACGACGGGUACGGGUUGUGAGAGCAAGAGCCCGGAGAUGGAUUCUGAGACAUGAAUCCAGGCCCUACGGGGCGCAGCAGGCGCGAAAACUUUACAAUGCGGGAAACCGUGAUAAGGGGACACCGAGUGCCAGCAUCCUAUGCUGGCUGUCCGGGUGUGUAAAAUACACCUGUUAGCAAGGGCCGGGCAAGACCGGUGCCAGCCGCCGCGGUAACACCGGCGGCCCGAGUGGUGAUCGUGAUUAUUGGGUCUAAAGGGUCCGUAGCCGGUUUGGUCAGUCCUCCGGGAAAUCUGACAGCUUAACUGUUAGGCUUUCGGAGGAUACUGCCAGACUUGGAACCGGGAGAGGUAAGAGGUACUACAGGGGUAGGAGUGAAAUCUUGUAAUCCCUGUGGGACCGCCUGUGGCGAAGGCGUCUUACCAGAAUGGGUUCGACGGUGAGGGACGAAAGCUGGGGGCACGAACCGGAUUAGAUACCCGGGUAGUCCUAGCCGUAAACGAUGCUCGCUAGGUGUCACGGCAGUCGUGAAUUGUCGUGGUGCCGUAGGGAAGCCGUGAAGCGAGCCACUUGGGAAGUACGACCGCAAGGUUGAAACUUAA